UCGAACAGCCUAAACAUAGUAGCUCCAAUAAAAUCCACCAUUAAAAUCACCACCGACCACUUCGCUCGCUUCCCCUCCUCACUGGCGCUGUCCCGCCAUGACUGUAGUUGUUCUUUUUGUUGCCGCCCUUUUCUCCCUCCUUUGUGUUGUCGGCUCUGUUAUUACCUCACCACCGCCGACGACGGUGGCCUCUUGUUUUCACCAUUGAUACUCCAUCUUCUAUUGGGUAAAUUACUAAACUUCUAUUAACUGAUUUGGUUUGAAUGAAUUAACUCCCUAGCUUAUCAAACCUAAACCGUUGAUUCCAUCCUCUCUCUUGUUGGUUGCGCCGCCCUUUUGGGUUGCCGGUGUGUUGGUGUUCCAUUGUCGAUGCCGUUUUCCCUUGCUCAUUGAUGUGGGUUGUUGUUUCUUGUUGCUCGUUCCUCUGCUUCGGUUUCCCUUGAUAAAUUGCACUCACUGGUAAUUAAAUAUUAAAGAAUGAUCAUGGAUUAAAGGGAUCGAUGGUGAUCGAGGAAUGAGAUUCUUGGAGGUUAGGUGUGACGAUUGAAGAAUCCUUUUUAAUGACUUUGUAGGUAUUGUGUAAGCUCGGAUGUGGAUUACAGAUGUGAUUGAGGAAGGAAUAAUUUUGCUGAAACGUUAUAAGGCUAUCAAGAAUUAUGAUAGGCUAAGAUAUCUUGUGUAUUUAUAGUUGAUUAUAAGGGUUAAUUCAGGUUUUGUUUUGUAAAUUGAAUUCUAAGUGUAAUUAGUGAGGAAUAAGUAGUUCUAAAUAGCAGCUCAAAAGUGUGGGCUGUUAUACUAUCCAUGCCGAAGCAGGUAUUCAAGUUCUACACCAACGUCUAGGCUAUCCAUGCCGAAGCAAAUAUUCAAGAUUCUACAACAACGUCUAGGCUAUCCUAGCCUACUCUCUUCCAAUAGACCCGAAAAAAUCACCAAUUGGGUCAUUAUAUACAAAUGCCAAGUACAAAAUUCAAAAAAAAAAAAAAAAAGUUCAACAUUCUACAAAGUUCCAACAGUUCAAGUUCACGUGGCUACCAAAUAAUUUUCUUCCUACAAGAUACAAGAAGUCUACUACCAUACAAGCGUCUUAUCAAUAAAAUAUUUCAAGCACAAAAAUCGAAACUACAUGCAAUCCUAGAAGUUAUUUCAUAAACAAAACUUGAAAUACUUACAUGGACAAGGCAAGAGCAACAAGAUCAAGGGGAGAGUAGUCGACCUUUGAAAAAGAAAGAAAGAAAAGAAAAUGAAAGG
Long non-coding RNA from Spinacia oleracea (spinach), 1248 nucleotides. RefSeq lists it as uncharacterized. The record is from RefSeq and is a predicted model, not a curated record. NCBI's taxonomy places the organism in Eukaryota, Viridiplantae, Streptophyta, Magnoliopsida, Caryophyllales, Amaranthaceae. The transcript is spliced from 3 exons.